Molecule: long non-coding RNA, 1368 nt
Organism: Lolium perenne
Lineage: Eukaryota; Viridiplantae; Streptophyta; Magnoliopsida; Poales; Poaceae
Source: RefSeq, a predicted model, not a curated record
UAUGAGCCCAGCCCACUAAUUACGCACGACUCAUUAAGAGUCCUUUAACCCAGCACAUGUGCAACGAGGCCACGAUCCCCACACCCGGCAGUCCCGUGCAUCGCCUCCCCCAUAACCUAGCCGCCUCCCUUCGUGUUCGGCCGCUGACGAGCUCUGCCUCCCUCGCCGGUUCGAUCUCCCACUACUCGCAUGUUGUUGAUAGGAUUCAGAGCAAAGAAAUCUGGAAGGGACGAUUUCACCACAGCUUAGGGUUCGUUUACCACAAGAUCGGCUAAAUCCACGAAAGCUCCUAGUGCUGCAGCCAAAACGGAUUUGGGAUACUCCAUGGCGGUGAUUUCUCGAAGAUCCACGAACCACGGCGGCGAUAUAUACCCCGGUGGGCGCGGCGGAGAAGGGCACAUAAGAGGUGUUCAGCGCAUGAGUGCAUCCAUGCCCAUUCGUUCCGUUGGCCGCUCAUGGUAUUCAGGUACUUUUCCUGUUUGGAUUGGUUGGAUACUUUGAUACCAAUCAUCUCAGCUAAUGGAAGAUUACAUUAUGUUACUGAUGGAGAUUUACAAAAAAAUACACAAACAGUGUAGAGAUAUGAUCUUCAUCUAGCUGUUUUAGUUUCGGCAAUAGUAUCUGACAAAGAUACAUAGCAGUACUAUGGUAUCAUUUAAUUCGCAUCUUGCCAUGAUUUUAUCUUGUAUGUAUGCUGAGAAAUUGAACACUUAUUAAUAGGUCUGUGUUGUAUUGAAGCCAGGAAUCUCUGCUUUCUUGCGAGAUCCAUUUGAUCCAUAUAGAGAAGGCUACAUCGCUCUUGCAAAAGGAAAUCAAAGAACGUAAUUCAUUGCAUUUUGGAUGUGAAUACCUCUUUUCUUUUUAUAGAAGUGUACAGCCGCUUCACACCUCACGUGCUGGUUCAUGUGCAAUAUGAGAAACAAUGUAUUUCCCGUAAAACUUAGUUUCCCCAUGGAUCUCUUUAGCCUAUGCUAUACUCAGGGCUGUUUUUCUUGAUGAAAACGUGAGCGCAUCAACAGCAACAAUCAGCAACAGGACGACCUGUAGGUCUUAUGAGCUAUAUAAAAUGCACAAGGUUGCAAAAAUAUCUUGCGUUCUGACUUAGCUUUGGCAUGUUACCAUGGUCCCAUAAAUCGGCAAGACUUUCUAUUUGGAUAUCUGCUCUGGAUAUGUUAGGCCAAAUAUCGGAAAAUACAUAUAGUAUAAGACUAGGUAGAAUAUAUUAUAUUUUGAUGCAAGAUUGUAAAUUGUCUAUUCUUAAUAUUCAUGUAUGGAAUGGUAUUCCAAGAAGAAUAUAUGUAGGACCAGGUAGAGUAUCAUAUUUCGUGCAAAUUGUAAAUUAUGUACUCAUUGGAUAAUAUGUCUGUA